AUUGAACGCUGGCGGCAUGCCUUACACAUGCAAGUCGAACGGCAGCGGGCCUUCGGGUGCCGGCGAGUGGCGAACGGUGAGUAAUGCAUCGGAACGUGCCAUUGAGUGGGGGAUAACGUAGCGAAAGUUGCGCUAAUACCGCAUAUUCUGUGAGCAGGAAAGCAGGGGACCGCAAGGCCUUGCGCUCUUUGAGCGGCCGAUGUCAGAUUAGCUAGUUGGUGAGGUAAAGGCUUACCAAGGCGACGAUCUGUAGCGGGUCUGAGAGGAUGAUCCGCCACACUGGAACUGAGACACGGUCCAGACUCCUACGGGAGGCAGCAGUGGGAAUUUGGACAAUGGGGCAACCCUGAUCCAGCCAUGCCGCGUGAGUGAAGAAGGCCUUCGGGUUGUAA
This 392-nucleotide ribosomal RNA is filed under the name uncultured bacterium. Its description in RNAcentral is "bacterial SSU rRNA". It matches the Rfam family "Bacterial small subunit ribosomal RNA", at positions 30 to 428 of the family's 1533-position model. The record is from RNAcentral.